GAUGAACGCUGGCGGCGUGCUUAACACAUGCAAGUCGAACGAAGCACUUUAUUUGAUUUCCUACGGGACUGAUUAUUUUGUGACUGAGUGGCGGACGGGUGAGUAACGCGUGGGUAACCUGCCUUGUACAGGGGGAUAACAGUGGGAAACGGCUGCUAAUACCGCAUAAGCGCACAGCAUCGCAUGAUGCAGUGUGAAAAACUCCGGUGGUAUAGGAUGUACCCGCGUUGGGUUAGCUAGUUGGUGAGGUAACGGCCCACCAAGGCGACGAUCCAUAGCCGCCCUGGGAGGGUGCCCGGCCACAUUGGGACUGAGACCCGGCCCAAACUCCUACGGGAGGCAGCAGUGGGGAAUAUUGCACAAUGGGCGAAAGCCUGAUGCAGCGACGCCGCGUGAGCGAAGAAGUAUUCCGGUAUGUAAAGCUCUAUCACCAGGGAAGAUAAUGACGGUACCUGAAUAAGAAGCACCGGCUAACUACGUG
Molecule: ribosomal RNA, 481 nt
Filed under: uncultured bacterium
Lineage: Bacteria
Description: partial 16S ribosomal RNA
Rfam family: Bacterial small subunit ribosomal RNA
Source: RNAcentral